AACGAACGCUGGCGGCGUGGAUAAGAUAUGCAAGUCGAACGGAUCAACUUUGUAGCAAUACUAAGCUGAUCAGUGGCGAACGGGUGCGUAACACGUGGGUCACAUUCCGGAAAGCAGAGAAUAGCCCAGGGAAACUUGGAUUAAUGCUCUAUGUGGUCGCAAGACUAAAGGCGCAAGCCGCUUUCUGAUUGGCCCGCGGCCUAUCAGCUAGUUGGUGGGGUAAUGGCCCACCAAGGCUACGACGGGUAGCUGGUCUAAGAGGACGACCAGCCACACUGGAACUGAGACACGGUCCAGACACCUACGGGUGGCAGCAGUCGAGAAUCUUUCACAAUGGGGGAAACCCUGAUGGAGCGACGCCGCGUGGAGGAUAAGGUCUUCGGAUUGUAAACUCCUGUCAUGCGAGAACAAUGCCUCACGGCUUGAUAGUAUCGCAAGAGGAAGAGACGGCUAACUCUGUGCCAGCAGCCGCGGUAA
Molecule: ribosomal RNA, 477 nt
Filed under: uncultured bacterium
Lineage: Bacteria
Description: partial 16S ribosomal RNA
Rfam family: Bacterial small subunit ribosomal RNA
Source: RNAcentral